Molecule: ribosomal RNA, 526 nt
Filed under: Lygosoma isodactylum (Siamese writhing skink)
Lineage: Eukaryota; Metazoa; Chordata; Lepidosauria; Squamata; Scincidae
Description: partial large subunit ribosomal RNA
Rfam family: Bacterial large subunit ribosomal RNA
Source: RNAcentral
AGCCUUUAGCCAAACAAGUAUUAAAGGUAUCGCCUGCCCAGUGAAAAAUUUUAACGGCCGCGGUAUUCUAACCGUGCAAAGGUAGCGUAAUCACUUGUCUUCUAAAUAAAGACUCGUAUGAACGGCUAAAUGAGGACAAACCUGUCUCCUAAGACCAAUCAGUGAAACUGAUCUUCCAGUCCAAAAGCUGGAAUAACCACAUAAGACGAGAAGACCCUGUGGAGCUUCAAACCAACCGCUAACGCAAAUCGAACUAGCACAAGGUUUUAAGUUGGGGCGACUUCGGAAUAAAGUACAACUUCCGAGCACAGGAGCACCACUCCUUCCUGAGGCCAACAAGCCAAAAAAUAUAAAAACGACCCAGUCAAACUGACCUUCGAACCAAGUUACCCCAGGGAUAACAGCGCAAUCUUCUUCAAGAGUCCAUAUCGACAAGAAGGUUUACGACCUCGAUGUUGGAUCAGGACACCCUAAUGGUGCAGCCGCUAUUAAAGGUUCGUUUGUUCAACGAUUAACAGUCCUACGU